GCGAGAUGGCUCAGUGGUUAAGAGCACUGACUGUUCUUCCAAAUAGUCCUGAGUUCAAUUCUCAGCAAUCACA
RNAcentral lists this transfer RNA (73 nucleotides) under Mus musculus (house mouse). RNAcentral describes it as "tRNA-Asn". Lineage: Eukaryota; Metazoa; Chordata; Mammalia; Rodentia; Muridae. The record is from RNAcentral.